This 988-nucleotide unclassified non-coding RNA is filed under the name Hevea brasiliensis (rubber tree). Lineage: Eukaryota; Viridiplantae; Streptophyta; Magnoliopsida; Malpighiales; Euphorbiaceae. The record is from RNAcentral.
AGAGGAAUACCCAGGCUGUCAGAUUUUUGGGCAGACAAUGACCACUGAUCACCAUGAUGAACUUACUAAAAUGGGAAUUAGUCCGUCUUCACGAGAGACCAAGUUUAUGUUUAAGUUCCCUUAUGUUAUAUACUGUGCUCCUCCAUCCCGAACUGAAGACUACCCUGGUGAUGUUAGGGACGCUGCAUUAAAGUGGAGUGGUGAAGGUUCUUUCCUGUUUACCUCAAGCUCUGCACCAUAUGACUGCUCUGAUAAUGGAUCAGUAGAUGAGGAUGGUCCCGUAGUCCCAAUUGGAAGGAGCCCAAGGACAGAUAUACUUCUCAAGGCAGAAGAAGUAGUGCUGGAGUUUGGUGGUUCUGUUGUUAGAUUGGCGGGUCUUUAUAAGGAAGACAGAGGUGCACACACAUAUUGGUUACAUAAAGGAACUGUGGAUAUUCGCCCUGAUCACAUCCUCAAUCUUAUCCAUUAUGAGGAUGCUGCCUCCUUGGCAGUGACCAUAUUGAAGAAGAGGCCCCGCAGUCGGAUUUUUUUGGGUUGUGACAACCACCCCUUGUCCAGGCAGGAACUAAUGGACUUGGUCAAUAAAAGUGGGAAGUUUGAGAGGAAGUUUGAGGGUUUUACUGGAACUAGUGGCCCUCUGGGGAAGAAGUUAAACAAUUCAAAAACUCGUGCUGAGCUAGGAUGGGAGCCUAAAUAUCCAAGUUUCGCUCAGUUCCUUGGAGUUUCAGAUUAAAUUGCUGCAGAAGCUCUAUUCUUUCGAAAUAAUGAAGAAAUGCAGGUGAACUAUUUUCACAGAGUUGUCUUUUAAUGCGGCAUAUUCUGAUCAGUGUUUUUGUGCACUUAAUUGCACCAUGUUGUGCAGAUAUUGCGUGUGUAAUAUAAUUCUGAGUUUUGGUUUAUGUGUACUAUGUCUCCGCUCUAAUUUGUUGUUAGGAAGGGAUGGUUGUGUUUGUCAAUUACUACUGAGAUGUUUAUGAUUGGAUUAAGG